UACGUAGGGGGCGAGCGUUAUCCGGAAUUAUUGGGCGUAAAGCGUGCGUAGGCGGCAUGGCAAGUUUAAGAUAAAAGCCCGGGGCUCAACUCCGGAUCGUCUUAAAAACUGCCAAGCUUGAGUGUGGUAGAGGCAAACGGAAUUUCUAGUGUAGCGGUGAAAUGCGUAGAUAUUAGAAGGAACACCAGUGGCGAAGGCGGUUUGCUAGGCCAUAACUGACGCUGAGGCACGAAAGCGUGGGUAGCAAAUAGG
This 252-nucleotide ribosomal RNA is filed under the name uncultured bacterium. RNAcentral's name for it is "partial 16S ribosomal RNA". It matches the Rfam family "Bacterial small subunit ribosomal RNA", at positions 524 to 776 of the family's 1533-position model. The record is from RNAcentral.